CCUACGGGAGGCAGCAGUGAGGAAUAUUGGUCAAUGGGCGUAAGCCUGAACCAGCCAAGUCGCGUGAGGGAUGAAGGUUCUAUGGAUCGUAAACCUCUUUUAUAAGGGAAUAAAGUGCGGGACGUGUCCCGUUUUGUCUGUACCUUAUGAAUAAGGAUCGGCUAACUCCGUGCCAGCAGCCGCGGUAAUACGGAGGAUCCGAGCGUUAUCCGGAUUUAUUGGGUUUAAAGGGUGCGUAGGCGGCCUUUUAAGUCAGCGGUGAAAGUCUGUGGCUCAACCAUAGAAUUGCCGUUGACACUGGGAGGCUUGAGUAUGUUUGAGGCAGGCGGAAUGCGUGGUGUAGCGGUGAAAUGCUUAGAUAUCACGCAGAACCCCGAUUGCGAAGGCAGCUUGCCAAGCCAUGACUGACGCUGAUGCACGAAAGCGUGGGGAUCAAACAGGAUUAGAUACCCGGGUAGUC
This 460-nucleotide ribosomal RNA is filed under the name uncultured bacterium. RNAcentral's name for it is "partial 16S ribosomal RNA". It matches the Rfam family "Bacterial small subunit ribosomal RNA", at positions 338 to 795 of the family's 1533-position model. The record is from RNAcentral.